This 388-nucleotide ribosomal RNA is filed under the name uncultured bacterium. RNAcentral describes it as "partial 16S ribosomal RNA". It matches the Rfam family "Bacterial small subunit ribosomal RNA", at positions 523 to 918 of the family's 1533-position model. The record is from RNAcentral.
AUACGUAGGCGGCAAGCGUUAUCCGGAAUUAUUGGGCGUAAAGAGUGAGCAGGCGGUUGAUUAAGUCUGAGGUUAAAGCGUGGGGCUCAACCCCAUAAAGCCUUGGAAACUGAUUGACUAGAGUACGGGAGAAGUGAAGGGAACUCCAUGUGUAGCGGUGAAAUGCGUAGAUAUAUGGAAGAACACCAGUGGCGAAGGCGCUUCACUAGCCCGAAACUGACGCUCAGUCACGAAAGCGUGGGUAGCAAAUAGGAUUAGAUACCCUAGUAGUCCACGCUGUAAACGAUGACAACUAAAUAUUGCCGCGAGGCAGUGUUGAAGCUAACGCAUUAAGUUGUCCGCCUGGGGAGUACGGUCGCAAGACUGAAACUUAAAGGAAUUGGCGGGG